Long non-coding RNA from Herpailurus yagouaroundi (jaguarundi), 1777 nucleotides. RefSeq lists it as uncharacterized. The transcript has 5 exons. NCBI's taxonomy places the organism in Eukaryota, Metazoa, Chordata, Mammalia, Carnivora, Felidae. The record is from RefSeq and is a predicted model, not a curated record.
CAGCCCCGCAGCCUCCAGUCGGUCUCCUGCGCCCGCCCCCCUCGAGACCUGGAAUUGUGGCCACGUUCACCGCCCUGUCUCCAGAUUCACCUGGUCACUCCUCAGACCAAGACAGAGUCUGCGAAGCUUUCAGAAUAAACAACAGUUUCAACUAUAACCAUUAUCACUACCCACUGCUCAUCCUGCCUCCGCUGCCAACUUGUUCAUCAUGUCAUCAGUAAGGCAUAACCUGUCUCCUGUAGAGGACACACAGGGAAAACUUCCAUAGCACUUCAUGUGGUUUUACAAAUGUCAUCCCUGUUUACUGGCUGCACGUCAUAUAAAAGUGAUCCCCAAUAUAAAAAAGUGAUCUGCACUCUCAUUUUGGUGGUGGUUUAGGUCAUUUGCAUUUUGAGCGGCUUAAAACGAUGAUACAGUGAACACUUCUGAACACAUAUCCUUGUGAAUCUGUCACCAGGAAAAAGUACUAGAAGUGAAAUUUAUAGUCAGCAGAUCAUUUAGAAAAAUAAGUAAGAAGAAUUCGCUGCUGUUUUGGUUGGAAUCGCAUUAAAUUUACAGAUUAAUAUAGGGAACAUGCAAUAUAUUCAAAACAUCAAAACUUUUCAUUCAAGAACAAGGUGUUUUCCCCAAUAAAUCUUGCACCUUUAAUGACAUCUUGGCAUCUGCUUCUGGAAGACCCAAACUGACACCGAAGAUGGAAAGUGUAUUAUCAAUUAGAAAAUGUGUAAUAUAGAUUUUUAAAUUUUUUUCAGAUUUUAAGUUGAAUGUGCUAAGUCAGGAUAUACAAUGUUUUAAAAACAAGACACAAAGCCUUUGUAUUUUAUAUAUGAAGUUUAAUUAAGAAGUGAAAAUUUAUUCAGGUCAAUUUAUUUGAACUCACAUCGAAGAAGAAACAUUCAACUCCAGGAUUAGAAAUAAAAAUGUAAACAGUCUACUUCUUUUUGGGUACGGGGAAGAUCACACAAGCCUGAUUGACAAGAGUACUAACAGCUUUGCGAAGUUACUACUUAAACUCUGUAUAUUCAAGUAUAUAUCAAGUUCAUACUUGGUUUACACAGAAUUUAUUCAAUCCUAGCAAAGUCAACAAAAUUUAAGUAAACCUCCUCUCAAGUUUUACUUUAAGUCUGAAAGCUUAGAUUUGAUUACAACCACAACAAAAGUGAUUAUCUUUACUUCCUGCAGAUGUAAUCAACUUUUAAAAUAACUUAGGCAAACAUCAAUUUUACAUAAACCUUAUUAAGGGUAGGAGGAAAUUGGAACUGUUCAUCCAAUUCCUGAGUCUAAACCAUAAAUCCAUAUUGUACUGUUAUCUCUAUUGUCAAACCAAGCCAAGAAAGCCUAUUACAGACUAGAAGUGAAUGUGAAUUUGCAGGGUCCACUAAGGGAUACUUUGAAAAUCUAUCAUCACAUUACUUUCAAGAAAUUACAGAAAUUAUUUUCAAGUAUGCUCCAAGAGUCACCUCUUAAGAACUAACCUUCAGCAAGUCAAGUGACAAGUAUUAUUUACCUACAUUUUGUAUGCUAGAUGAAGGUAAAAAUUUAGGAUUGAGUAAUCUAUUUGAAAAUAAAAAGUAAACAAAAAAUAGAUUCUGGUUUUAUUUGAAAUAGGAUUCAUGUGCCCCAAGUCCCUUCCCAUUGGGUUAUAUCCAUUAGUCUAUAUUUCUACCUAGAAGCCAAUCCAUUUGAAAAGUUACCUCCAUUAUGUGUCCAACAUUAUUAACGUAUUAGUACAGACUCUUGUAGCACUGCUCACUUCUAGUAUGCCACUAAAAAAAGG